AGAGUUUGAUCAUGGCUCAGGACGAACGCUGGCGGCGUGCCUAAUACAUGCAAGUCGAGCGGACAGAUGGGAGCUUGCUCCCUGAUGUUAGCGGCGGACGGGUGAGUAACACGUGGGUAACCUGCCUGUAAGACUGGGAUAACUCCGGGAAACCGGGGCUAAUACCGGAUGGUUGUUUGAACCGCAUGGUUCAAACAUAAAAGGUGGCUUCGGCUACCACUUACAGAUGGACCCGCGGCGCAUUAGCUAGUUGGUGAGGUAACGGCUCACCAAGGCGACGAUGCGUAGCCGACCUGAGAGGGUGAUCGGCCACACUGGGACUGAGACACGGCCCAGACUCCUACGGGAGGCAGCAGUAGGGAAUCUUCCGCAAUGGACGAAAGUCUGACGGAGCAACGCCGCGUGAGUGAUGAAGGUUUUCGGAUCGUAAAGCUCUGUUGUUAGGGAAGAACAAGUACCGUUCGAAUAGGGCGGUACCUUGACGGUACCUAACCAGAAAGCCACGGCUAACUACGUGCCAGCAGCCGCGGUAAUACGUAGGUGGCAAGCGUUGUCCGGAAUUAUUGGGCGUAAAGGGCUCGCAGGCGGUUUCUUAAGUCUGAUGUGAAAGCCCCCGGCUCAACCGGGGAGGGUCAUUGGAAACUGGGGAACUUGAGUGCAGAAGAGGAGAGUGGAAUUCCACGUGUAGCGGUGAAAUGCGUAGAGAUGUGGAGGAACACCAGUGGCGAAAGGCGACUCUCUGGUCUGUAACUGACGCUGAGGAGCGAAAGCGUGGGGGAGCGAACAGGGAUUAGAUACCCUGGGUAGUCCACGCCCGUAAACGAUGAGUGCUAAGUGUUAGGGGG
Molecule: ribosomal RNA, 845 nt
Filed under: Bacillus subtilis
Lineage: Bacteria; Bacillati; Bacillota; Bacilli; Caryophanales; Bacillaceae
Description: bacterial SSU rRNA
Rfam family: Bacterial small subunit ribosomal RNA
Source: RNAcentral